GAUGAACGCUGGCGGCGUGCCUAAUACAUGCAAGUCGAGCGAACGGACGAGAAGCUUGCUUCUCUGAUGUUAGCGGCGGACGGGUGAGUAACACGUGGAUAACCUACCUAUAAGACUGGGAUAACUUCGGGAAACCGGAGCUAAUACCGGAUAAUAUUUUGAACCGCAUGGUUCAAAAGUGAAAGACGGUCUUGCCGUCACUUAUAGAUGGAUCCGCGCUGCAUUAGCUAGUUGGUAAGGUAACGGCUUACCAAGGCAACGAUGCAUAGCCGACCUGAGAGGGUGAUCGGCCACACUGGAACUGAGACACGGUCCAGACUCCUACGGGAGGCAGCAGUAGGGAAUCUUCCGCAAUGGGCGAAAGCCUGACGGAGCAACGCCGCGUGAGUGAUGAAGGUCUUCGGAUCGUAAAACUCUGUUAUUAGGGAAGAACAUAUGUGUAAGAAACUGUGCACAUCUUGACGGUACCUAAUCAGAAAGCCACGGCUAACUACGUG
Molecule: ribosomal RNA, 497 nt
Filed under: uncultured bacterium
Lineage: Bacteria
Description: partial 16S ribosomal RNA
Rfam family: Bacterial small subunit ribosomal RNA
Source: RNAcentral